GUGCUGGUUCGCCCGUUUGCCACCGCUCCUUCUGUGCCCACAUGCUGAAGUCCCUCGUCGGGGGCUCUCCGUCUCCGCCGCCUCGCCCGGUGAAGUGACCCUCGAUCACCUCGGGUUCUCAGAAUCUGGCAGAAUGUCAAAACUAUUCACUGGACCCUCUGGAAAGCACGUCUGCUUACCGUUAAGCCGUUUAGCUCCUAAUACCAACAACAAACACUCCUUCUGUGCCGGCGCCCGGGCACGGAGCACAGUGAGCCGUCUAUGAGGGAGGUCAGGACAACUCUUUAAUCGGACUCUGCCCAUCUGGCCCCGCCGGCGCUCCCACACUGAGCUGCUGGUCGGCGUCCUCAGCAGGAGACUAAGUGGGACACGGGGACACAGAUGCCCGACUGACACCGGACCACUCGCCGAGCGUAAAGCCUCAGCGAUGAAGCACGUCCAGUGUGUCAGGGCUACGCCUUUUUUCCGCGGUUGGUAAGAACCCGUGGUAGGAACAGGAUCGCCGCGGAGGACGUGACAAGUCGACCGCCCACAGCCAACAGCCACUGCACCUGAGGCUAAACAGACAAACUUAAUGUGUCACCUCCUCUGAGCUGAGGCCUGAUUCACGUCGUACACGUCUCUACUUUUGAGUUUCAGCGUCUUACGUAAUGUUCACGCGUCACACGUGCACUUUCCCCAGCAAACAAAGAACGAUGAUGUUGAAACGACACCAGGAUGAUUACAAACACACACACACACAAGAUUAUAAUCAACAUAUCAUGUGAGAAAAGUAAACCAUUGAAAUCUCUUUUGCAUUUGAAAGUUAUGACAAUUUACAAAAGUGUUUCUUUUGUAAUAAUAUGUAAAAUGCAGUCAUUUGUU
This is a long non-coding RNA of Solea senegalensis (Senegalese sole), 864 nucleotides long. RefSeq lists it as uncharacterized. NCBI's taxonomy places the organism in Eukaryota, Metazoa, Chordata, Actinopteri, Pleuronectiformes, Soleidae. The record is from RefSeq and is a predicted model, not a curated record. The transcript is spliced from 3 exons.